UAUGACUCUCGGCAACGGAUAUCUCGGCUCUCGCAUCGAUGAAGAGCGCAGCGAAAUGCGAUACGUGGUGCGAAUUGCAGAAUCCCGUGAACCAUCAAGUCUUUGAACGCAAGUUGCGCCCGAGGCCAAUCGGCUAAGGGCACGUCUGCCUGGGCGUCAAGC
Molecule: ribosomal RNA, 162 nt
Filed under: Epipactis palustris
Lineage: Eukaryota; Viridiplantae; Streptophyta; Magnoliopsida; Asparagales; Orchidaceae
Also listed under: 3 other names
Description: 5.8S ribosomal RNA
Rfam family: 5.8S ribosomal RNA
About the family: 5.8S ribosomal RNA (5.8S rRNA) is a component of the large subunit of the eukaryotic ribosome. It is transcribed by RNA polymerase I as part of the 45S precursor that also contains 18S and 28S rRNA.
Source: RNAcentral